RNAcentral lists this ribosomal RNA (817 nucleotides) under uncultured bacterium. RNAcentral describes it as "bacterial SSU rRNA". It matches the Rfam family "Bacterial small subunit ribosomal RNA", at positions 447 to 1252 of the family's 1533-position model. The record is from RNAcentral.
CAAUGAGGGUUAACAGCCCUCCGCGUUGAGCAGACCCAAAGGAAGCCUCGGCUAACUCUGUGCCAGCAGCCGCGGUAAGACAGAGGAGGCAAGCGUUGUUCGGAAUUAUUGGGCUUAAAGCGGGUGUAGGCGGCUUGGCAAGUGUCCUGUGAAAUCCCACGGCUCAACCGUGGAAUUGCAGGGCAAACUGCCUGGCUUGAGGUCGGUAGAGGUGCCUGGAACUCUAGGUGGAGCGGUGAAAUGCGUAGAUAUCUAGAGGAACGCCAGUGGCGAAAGCGGGGCACUGGGCCGAUUCUGACGCUGAGACCCGAAAGCGUGGGGAGCAAACAGGAUUAGAUACCCUGGUAGUCCACGCCGUAAACGAUGCACACUAGGUGGCGGAGUCUCUGACGGCGUCGCCGCCGCAGCAAAAGUGAUAAGUGUGCCGCCUGGGGAGUACGGCCGCAAGGCUAAAACUCAAAGGAAUUGACGGGGGCUCACACAAGCGGUGGAGCAUGUGGCUUAAUUCGAAGCAACGCGAAGAACCUUACCCAGGUUUGACAUGCUUGGAUGCAAUUCCGGGAUAACCGGGAGCGCUGCCCUUCGGGGUGAAACUUGCACAGGUGUUGCACGGCUGUCGUCAGCUCGUGCUGUGAAGUGUCGGGUUAAGUCCCUUAACGAGCGAAACCCCUAUCGUCAGUUGCCAGCGCGUUAUGGCGGGGACUCUGGCGAGACUGCCGGCGUUAAGCCGGAGGAAGGUGGGGAUGACGUCAAGUCAUCGUGGCCCUUAUGCCUGGGGAUGCACACGUGCUACAAUGGCCGGUACAAAGGGAAGCAA